Molecule: long non-coding RNA, 452 nt
Organism: Mesocricetus auratus (golden hamster)
Lineage: Eukaryota; Metazoa; Chordata; Mammalia; Rodentia; Cricetidae
Exons: 3
Source: RefSeq, a predicted model, not a curated record
UUACUUCCGGUCCUCCUUGGUGCUUCCUGCCCCAUGCAAGGUCAAGAGAAACAGCGACCUGGAAUCCCCGUCUGUAAAACCUAUGCCAAGAGCUGGGGAUAAAGGAAAAGAAAGUGCAGGUGUUUAAAGGAGCAUGGAGGAGGAAACUGAGGCCCAGAGACUGAAAGGGAGAUGUUCCUGUGUACUCAGUGGUGACUCAGUCCCAGAGUCUGGACCAGGGAGUUCGGUGACAAGUCAUGCCUGACGCCAGAAGACAUACAGCAAAGGGCCUGGAGAGAUGGUUGAGCAGUUCAGCGCACAGGCUAUUUUGUUCUUCUCGAGGUCACGAGUUUAAGCCCCAGAACCACAUGGUAGCUCACAGCCAUCUGUAAUGGAAUCCAGUGUUCUCUUCUGGUGUGCAGGUGUACAUGCAUCCAAAGCACUCUUACAUAAAUAAACCCUUAAAAUUUUUA